GGGGAUGUGGCGCAGAGGUAGAGCACUUGCCUAUCAUGCAUGAGGUACUGGGUUCAAUCCUCAGCACCA
Molecule: transfer RNA, 69 nt
Filed under: Urocitellus parryii (Arctic ground squirrel)
Lineage: Eukaryota; Metazoa; Chordata; Mammalia; Rodentia; Sciuridae
Also listed under: 2 other names
Description: Spermophilus parryii (Arctic ground squirrel) tRNA
Rfam family: tRNA
About the family: Transfer RNA (tRNA) molecules are approximately 80 nucleotides in length. Their secondary structure includes four short double-helical elements and three loops (D, anti-codon, and T loops).
Source: Rfam by way of RNAcentral